Molecule: long non-coding RNA, 1484 nt
Organism: Papaver somniferum (opium poppy)
Lineage: Eukaryota; Viridiplantae; Streptophyta; Magnoliopsida; Ranunculales; Papaveraceae
Exons: 4
Source: RefSeq, a predicted model, not a curated record
ACCGCCGUCCUGAACCAAAAUGUCACCUGGAUUCGUAUGGGAAUGUAGUGGAAGAAAAAUAUCCACUUUCAAUUCAUCAGCAUUAUGAUAUCUUCUCUCAACGUUUUACUUGAUUCGGUAAACCUACAGUUCGGAACGUCUUAAGGGAGAUCUUCAUACUAUCUUGCCAAUCUGGACAAGAUCCGAAAUCCAGUUUUUCAUGGCUUUGUUCGCAUUGACUUAGCUGCAUAUGACUCACUACCAGUGAGCUAGAGAGUCCUACUAAGCUAGAAAGUAAGUGACAACGAUUUGAUAGAAAGCUCCAGCAGGUUCAAAUAGUUGAUUACGGCUCCAAGGUUACAUCAAAUGUGGAAACUUGGAGGAUGAACUCUUGUAAAUAUGGAGCAACAGGUCGUUUGCUGUAGUUACAAUAUGUCCUCUCUGACAACGAAAUUUGUGAUGCUGCUGAGCUGCUAUUUUGGAUUGGGUUUAAGCUCUCUGGCUGAAGAAGUUGAUUGUCGCAUCUGGUUUUGACAGAGUGAUCACAAAUUUGUUCAAGUCAUUAUAUAUUCUUUUUCUGCAUCUUUGGAUUGCCUAGCGUAUUCCUUGGGUUGAACCCGUUUGGUUAGGAAUCUUGAAGAAAUUGGUAUGUGAUUUAGUUAUGUUCAUUCAAUGAACAUGUUGAGAGCAAGGAGUCAGAAAAGCAUGGGAUCUGAAUUCAGAAGAAUUUGCAGAAUUAAACAUUUCUUCAUUUUACACCGACGAUCAUGGAACCUAGAUCUUCCGAUACAUACGUGAUCCGUGGUUGCUUUCCUUGUCUUGUCUUAUCUGUGUAGAAGUGACUUUCAUAGAUGCCGCGCAAGUAUUUUAUUUGUGAAAUAUUUAUUGAAAACGAUGCAGGUGGUUACAUGGUAUUCUACGGUUUUAAAUGAGUGAAGGCUAGGCAUCCCAUUUUUUAGCAUGGGCGGCUACAUGAUGCCAUAUCCGGUGGCCAGCACAUGAAAAGCCACAUUUCUGUAUAUGCCAACUGUGGUUCAGUCCAUCAUGCAUUGAUUGAAAUUGUUUACAGUAAUUGCAAUCAUUGUUUCUCUCUACUUUUCUGAAACCCAUAGCUCUAUUGUGAUUGAAAUUGUAAACAGCAAAGAAGGAAGAAAAAUACAAACCAAUCGUUUAUCCACUGGACAUGAUUUGGCCACCACAUUGCCCUACAGACAGAAAGACUGAAAUUCAAAAUUGGAACUACCAUUAACAGCCCAUAACCCCCCAAAUUUUAACCUCAGAUGGGGGCAUUAUAAUGAGAUCGUCUUGCGGUAUCUCCAUAUAUACACUAACUAAAGGAUAUCUCCAAAACGAGCUGUUAUAAGAUCUGUCUCUUUCCGUCUCACUCUAUGUAUCUCUUUUAAGAACAAAAGCUAUACAUCUGUAUGAUGAUGACUUGGGGAUUCGACUCUAAGUUACAAGAUGACAUUCAUUUAUCAUCCGGAGACUCUGCUUCUCUUCCCCGU